AUGAGUCGGAACAGCAGCAACUAAUUUUCUUAAAAAACACAUCUGGUUCCUGGGGCAGGGAAGCGAGAUGGAUGAUCAUGUUCAAAAUAAACUGGUAGAAUGGGACCUGGGUGAUUUACUCUCUACAUUUGAAGACAGGCACAUCGCUUUGCUUCUGCUACCUGUGGUGACC
This is a long non-coding RNA of Sander lucioperca (pikeperch), 172 nucleotides long. RefSeq lists it as uncharacterized. The record is from RefSeq and is a predicted model, not a curated record. The transcript is spliced from 3 exons. NCBI's taxonomy places the organism in Eukaryota, Metazoa, Chordata, Actinopteri, Perciformes, Percidae.